CGGAAUAAUGCGUAGUACCUAAUCGUAUAAUAUAUACAGUUCACGCAGAAACAUCGAUCAAUCGGGUAAGUUAGAAUGCAUAUGCACAUAAUAUUAAAAUAUGCACACACAGGGCCGGCCUAUAUAUCCGCCGAACAUUAUUAACUUAAGCCACGUCCACACAAUAUAACGAAUUUUCGAGAAUAAAAUUGUACGCAUUUGUAUGCUAAUGGACUUUCGCCCGUCGCUCUAUCGCGGCCUUGACGAAUAUGUUUACAAACAGUAGACAGUGGCUACUUCGUCACUUGUUGGAUAGUCCUAGGAAGAAAGGACAGAACGAUGCAUGCUUCCGAUGCAUCAAUAAAUUACAUCAAGAGCUAGAAGUAAAGACGAAACCAAUGGAAAGCGUUUAUGAAAUAUUCAGCAUUGUUCAGAAAAUCUCAACUACUACAUAACAAUGAUGAAAAACUGUCUAUCGCUGUUUUAAACUUCUGUACAAUUUACGAAGAAUUUGAUAAGGAAGAAAAAAUAACUCAAAAUAAAAAGGCUGUGGCAUUUUAUUAAAGAAGCUGGGGUUCCAAAAGAAGAAUCAAAGAAGCAGAAAUCAUUAAAAGUCUUAACAAACAGAUAAACAGAUAAGUUAUUGAUACUUGGUUUAACGUAUAUACUAAUGUACACGACUCAAUAUUAAUGUUAUUGAGUGUUUGGGUUAUAUUUAUAUUUUAUCGUUGUUUUUUAAUAUUUAUAGUUUGUUAUGAUUGUUUAUUAAAGUAUUGCUUUGCCGAGA
Molecule: non-coding RNA, 766 nt
Organism: Cinara cedri
Lineage: Eukaryota; Metazoa; Arthropoda; Insecta; Hemiptera; Aphididae
Source: the annotation of a GenBank genome assembly